Molecule: ribosomal RNA, 481 nt
Filed under: uncultured bacterium
Lineage: Bacteria
Description: bacterial SSU rRNA
Rfam family: Bacterial small subunit ribosomal RNA
Source: RNAcentral
GAUGAACGCUGGCGGCGUGCCUAACACAUGCAAGUCGAGCGAGAAUUCUUUAACUGAUUCUUCGGAUGAUUUUAAAGAAGGAAAGCGGCGGACGGGUGAGUAACGCGUAGGCAACCUGCCUCUCACAGAGGGAUAGCCAUUGGAAACGAUGAUUAAAAACCUCAUAACGCCGCUCCGGGACAUCCCGGAACGGCCAAAGAUUUAUCGGUGAGAGAUGGGCCUGCGUCUGAUUAGCUAGUUGGUGAGGUAACGGCCCACCAAGGCGACGAUCAGUAGCCGGACUGAGAGGUUGACCGGCCACAUUGGGACUGAGAUACGGCCCAGACUCCUACGGGAGGCAGCAGUGGGGAAUAUUGGGCAAUGGACGCAAGUCUGACCCAGCAACGCCGCGUGAAGGAAGAAGGCUUUCGGGUUGUAAACUUCUUUAAGGGGGAAGAGCAGAAGACGGUACCUGGAGAAAAAGCAACGGCUAACUACGUAG